This 483-nucleotide long non-coding RNA is filed under the name Physcomitrium patens. RNAcentral describes it as "long non-coding RNA (PPAT_LNC000804)". Lineage: Eukaryota; Viridiplantae; Streptophyta; Bryopsida; Funariales; Funariaceae. The record is from RNAcentral.
UAAAAUUAUAUGAUAACUUAACUUCCACAGAUAUAAAUUUUAUCAUUAAAAUCAAAAUCAAGAAAUGAAUCUAUAACAUGGUUUUUUAUAAAUAUUUAUUACGUCCAUUUUUUAAAAAAUAUUAAAAUUUUUACAUAAUUAUCAUAAGAACAAUGAUUACAAGUUGAUUGAAUUACUAAAAAAAAUGAGUAUAUUUUUAAUUUUUAUCCAACUUAGUAAGUUUUAUCUUUUUUACUUAAUAUGAAUUUAUAAAUAGAAAUCUAAAGUAUUUUAGAAAAUUAAAAUAAAUAAUCGCUCUUUAUUUUUUAGAAUAACCUUGUAAAAAAAUAAUGUAUAUCUUGAUCAUGCUAAAUCAAGUUUUGGAAUAAUCUAAAUGGUUUCCUGUUACUGGUCUUAACUGUUAUAUUUUUUCUAAUAUAAUGAUAUUUUAAAUAAUAAUAAUAAUAAUAAUAAUUCUUAAUUUUCAGUCCCUUAUUUAUAUCU